AUGGGGUGCAGCAGGCGCGAAAACUUGGCAAUGCGAGAAAUCGUGACCAGGGAACUCCAAGUGCAUCGGGUAAGACCGAUGCUUUUCUUGACUCUUCAAAGGUCUUGGAAUAAGGGGUGGGUAAGGACGGUGCCAGCCGCCGCGGUAAUACCGGCGCCUCAAGUGGUAGUCGAUUUUAUUGGGCCUAAAACGUCCGUAGCCUGUUUGGUACAUUCGUGGGUAAAUCAACCAGCUCAACUGGUUGAAUUCUGCGAGCACGGCCAGACUUGGGACCGGGAGAGGUGUGGGGUACGCUCAGGGUAGGGGUAAAAUCCUGUCAUCCUGAGCGGACCACCUGUUGCGAAGGCGCCACACUAGAACGGAUCCGACGGUCAGGGACGAAGCCUAGGGGCACGAACCGGAUUAGAUACCCGGGUAGUCCUAGGUGUAAACGCUGUGGACUUGGUGUUGGGGAUUCUCAGAGGAUUCUCAGUGCCGAAGCGAAGGUGAUAAGUCCACUGCCUGGGGAGUACGGUCGCAAGGCUGAAACUUAAAGGAAUUGGCGGGGGAGCAC
Molecule: ribosomal RNA, 553 nt
Filed under: uncultured euryarchaeote
Lineage: Archaea; Methanobacteriati; Methanobacteriota
Description: bacterial SSU rRNA
Rfam family: Archaeal small subunit ribosomal RNA
Source: RNAcentral